This 500-nucleotide long non-coding RNA is filed under the name Linum usitatissimum (flax). Its description in RNAcentral is "long non-coding RNA (LUSI_LNC001719)". Lineage: Eukaryota; Viridiplantae; Streptophyta; Magnoliopsida; Malpighiales; Linaceae. The record is from RNAcentral.
UAACAAUGGAGAUUCAUAGAAUAGGAAAAACCUCACCAAGUCACCAUCUAUCUGUCCCACUCUCAACUUCAAAUUCAACACCUCUACUACUUCUCCUCCUCACCAAUCCCCCAAACCCAGAAGAACGAGUUGAUGACGACGAGCUUCUGUUAAAAGAUCCGGUAGGAUGAGAUGAAGAAGCAGAAUUUGACCGAAAUCGUAACAGGGAAAGAAACCCACGGACAAUCCUUCUCAAUCCGCCGCCGUUUCCUCUGCCACGGCUACUUCUGCUCACCCACGAAACCCUCCUCGGAACCCCACCUCCAUUACCUCCGCCGUUAAAUCCUCCGUCCAUCUCGGUGAACACCCCCGGGAACUCCCUUUCUCCUCCUCCUCUCCUUCCGCCGCCGAAUCUCCCCACCGCGAAUCCUCCUCCGGGGAGCCUCCAUAUCGUCAGCCCAACAACUUCCUCCUCUUCGUUGGGAUUCUCGCCUCCGCCGCCGCCUUCUUGCGGAUCAGCC